UCCAGAAAUCAUAGCUGAUAAGACCAACAUCACAAUCAGAAAUUUAAGCCCGAAGAAAGAAAUCUUUUGAUCAGUUGGUCUGACUGAUGAGAAAACCCAGACCCAGAAAAUAUGUGUGUUAUCCCAGUUCCUUCAGCAGGCUGAGACCCAACCUCACACCCCUCUCACCCCUCCCUAGUGUGCCACUCUGCGGCUUCAUCACACAAGGACAUGAGAGAGGAAACAAUAACCUUUCUCACUUCUGAAUAUAAGACAAACGAGAACGUUGGGAUGGAUCUUGAAGGAUGCCAGGAGUCACUGCUUGUUUUUUUUUUUAAAGUUCCCUCACUUCUGUGCUACUCUCCUUCCUGUUACUGGGGCAAGUACAUAAUUACUAGGUGGUUUCUCAUUUACA
Non-coding RNA from Microcebus murinus (gray mouse lemur), 394 nucleotides. Lineage: Eukaryota; Metazoa; Chordata; Mammalia; Primates; Cheirogaleidae. The record is from RefSeq and is a predicted model, not a curated record.